AAGAGUUGAAGGAACCCCAAAGGGUUGAAGGACCCCCAAAAGGUAGAAGGACCCCCAAUGGGUAGGAGGACCCCUAAGGGUAGAAAGACCCCAAAAGGGUAGAAGGACCCCCCAAAGGUAGAAAGAACCCCAAGGAUAGAAGGACCCCCAAAGGGUUGAGGGACCCCCAAAGGGUAGAAAGACCCCAAAAGGGUAGAAGGACCCCCAAAGGGUAGAAGGAGCCCGAAAGGGUAGAAGGACCUCCAGUGGUAGAAAGACCCCCCAAAGGUAGAAGGACCCCCAAAGAGUAGAAGGACCCCUAUAGGGUAGAAGGACCCCAAAGGUUUGAAGGAUCCCCAAAGAGUAGAAGGACUCCCCAAGGGUAGAAGGACCCCCAAAGGGUUGAGGGACCCUCAAAGGUUAGAAGGAUCCCCAAGAGUAGAAGGACUCCCCAAGGGUAGAAGGACCCCCAAAGGGUUGAGGGACCCUCAAAGGGUAGAAGGACUCCCAAAGGUUAGAAGGUCCCCCAAAGGGUUGAGGGACCCCCAAAGGGUAGAAGGACCCCCAAGGUUAGAAGGACCCCCAAUGGUAGAGGGACCCCCAAAGUGUUGAGGGACCCCCAAGGGUAGAAGGACCCCUAAGGGUAGAAGGACCCCCAAAAG
RNAcentral lists this long non-coding RNA (641 nucleotides) under Gallus gallus (chicken). RNAcentral describes it as "lncRNA (ENSGALG00010000676.1)". The record is from RNAcentral. Lineage: Eukaryota; Metazoa; Chordata; Aves; Galliformes; Phasianidae.